This 440-nucleotide ribosomal RNA is filed under the name uncultured bacterium. RNAcentral's name for it is "partial 16S ribosomal RNA". It matches the Rfam family "Bacterial small subunit ribosomal RNA", at positions 338 to 795 of the family's 1533-position model. The record is from RNAcentral.
CCUACUGGAGGCAUCAUUGGGGCAUCUUGCACAAUGGGGGAAACCCUGAUGCAGCAACGCCGCGUGAGUGAAGAAGUAUUUCGGUAUGUAAAGCUCUAUCAGCAGUUCCGCCGCUGCCGGUCCCUGCGUACGAAGCCCCGGCUACCUACGUGCCAGCAGCCGCGGUAAUACGUAGGGGGCACGCGUUCUCCGGCUUUCCUGGGUGUCCCGGGCGCGUCGCCGGUGCGCCACGUCUGCCGUGAAAGCCCGGGGCUCAACCCCGGGACUGCUUUGGAAACUGCCUGACUGGAGUGCUGGAGAGGCAAGCGGAAUUCCUAGUGUAGCGGUGAAAUGCGUAGAUAUUAGGAAGAACACCAGUGGCGAAGGCGGCUUGCUGGACAGUAACUGACGUUGAGGCUCGAAAGCGUGGGGAGCAAACAGGAUUAGAGACCCGGGUAGUC